Molecule: ribosomal RNA, 468 nt
Filed under: uncultured bacterium
Lineage: Bacteria
Description: partial 16S ribosomal RNA
Rfam family: Bacterial small subunit ribosomal RNA
Source: RNAcentral
GACGAACGCUGGCGGCGUGCUUAACACAUGCAAGUCGAACGGAAAGGCCCUGCUUUUGUGGGGUGCUCGAGUGGCGAACGGGUGAGUAACACGUGAGUAACCUGCCCUUGACUUUGGGAUAACUUCAGGAAACUGGGGCUAAUACCGGAUAGGAGCUCCUGCUGCAUGGUGGGGGUUGGAGAGUUUCGGCGGUUGGGGAUGGACUCGCGGCUUAUCAGCUUGUUGGUGGGGUAGUGGCUUACCAAGGCUUUGACGGGUAGCCGGCCUGAGAGGGUGACCGGCAACAUUGGGACUGAGAUACGGCCCAGACUCCUACGGGAGGCAGCAGUGGGGAAUAUUGCACAAUGGGCGGAAGCCUGAUGCAGCAACGCCGCGUGCGGGAUGACGGCCUUCGGGUUGUAAACCGCUUUCGCCUGUGACGAAGCGUGAGUGACGGUAAUGGGUAAAGAAGCACCGGCUAACUACGUG